This 902-nucleotide ribosomal RNA is filed under the name uncultured bacterium. Its description in RNAcentral is "bacterial SSU rRNA". It matches the Rfam family "Bacterial small subunit ribosomal RNA", at positions 74 to 960 of the family's 1533-position model. The record is from RNAcentral.
ACAGGAACACUUGCUGCUUCGCUGACGAGUGGCGGACGGGUGAGUAAUGUCUGGGAAACUGCCUGAUGGAGGGGGAUAACUACUGGAAACGGUAGCUAAUACCGCAUAACGUCGCAAGACCAAAGAGGGGGACCUUCGGGCCUCUUGCCAUCGGAUGUGCCCAGAUGGGAUUAGCUAGUAGGUGGGGUAACGGCUCACCUAGGCGACGAUCCCUAGCUGGUCUGAGAGGAUGACCAGCCACACUGGAACUGAGACACGGUCCAGACUCCUACGGGAGGCAGCAGUGGGGAAUAUUGCACAAUGGGCGCAAGCCUGAUGCAGCCAUGCCGCGUGUAUGAAGAAGGCCUUCGGGUUGUAAAGUACUUUCAGCGGGGAGGAAGGCGAUAAGGUUAAUAACCUUGUCGAUUGACGUUACCCGCAGAAGAAGCACCGGCUAACUCCGUGCCAGCAGCCGCGGUAAUACGGAGGGUGCAAGCGUUAAUCGGAAUUACUGGGCGUAAAGCGCACGCAGGCGGUCUGUCAAGUCGGAUGUGAAAUCCCCGGGCUCAACCUGGGAACUGCAUUCGAAACUGGCAGGCUAGAGUCUUGUAGAGGGGGGUAGAAUUCCAGGUAUAGCGGUGAAAUGCGUAGAGAUCUGGAGGAAUACCGGUGGCGAAGGCGGCCCCCUGGACAAAGACUGACGCUCAGGUGCGAAAGCGUGGGGAGCAAACAGGAUUAGAUACCCAGGUAGUCCACGCCGUAAACGAUGUCGACUUGGAGGUUGUGCCCCUUGAGGCGUGGCUUCCGGAGCUAACGCGUUUAAGUCGACCGCCUGGGGAGUACGGCCGCCAAGGUUAAAAACUCAAAUGAAUUGACGGGGGCCCCCCACAAGCGGUGGAGCAUGUGGUUUAAUUCGAUGCAAC